Molecule: ribosomal RNA, 392 nt
Filed under: uncultured bacterium
Lineage: Bacteria
Description: bacterial SSU rRNA
Rfam family: Bacterial small subunit ribosomal RNA
Source: RNAcentral
AGCGAACGUUUGCGGCGGGCUUAACACAUGCAAGUCGAACGGGCUGUUCCUUCGGGGGCAGUCAGUGGCGCACGGGUGCGUAACACGUAGGUAAUCAACCCUCUGGUUGGGGAUAACACUUCGAAAGGAGUGCUAAUACCCGGUAUGGCGCAGCGGUCUUCGGAUCGCGGCGAGAAAGACCCGCAAGGGUUGCCAGAGGACGAGCCUGCGGCCCAUCAGCUAGUUGGCGAGGUAACGGCUCACCAAGGCGAAGACGGGUAGCUGGUCUGAGAGGAUGAUCAGCCACACUGGAACUGAGACACGGUCCAGACUCCUACGGGAGGCAGCAGUGGGGGAAUAUUGCGCAAUGGGCGAAAGCCUGACGCAGCCACGCCGCGUGAGCGAUGAAGGCC